CCCUUAGAUGUUCUGGGCUGCACGCGCGCUACACUGAUGCGAUCAACAAGUUUUUCCUAUGUCGAUAGACACGGGUAAUCUUUUGAACUCGCAUCGUGAUGGGGAUAGAUUAUUGUAAUUAUUAAUCUUCAACGAGGAAUUCCUAGUAGGUGCAAAUCAUCAGUUUGCAUCGAUUACGUCCCUGCCCUUUGUACACACCGCCCGUCGCUGCUACCGAUUGGUUGAUCUGGUGAAUUAUUCGGACUGCCGGCUGAAGGGGUUUCCUCAUCUGCCAGCGGAAAGUCUUGUUAACCCUAUCAACUAGAGGAAGCAGCAGUCGUAACA
RNAcentral lists this ribosomal RNA (324 nucleotides) under uncultured eukaryote. RNAcentral's name for it is "partial 18S ribosomal RNA". It matches the Rfam family "Eukaryotic small subunit ribosomal RNA", at positions 1470 to 1796 of the family's 1831-position model. The record is from RNAcentral.